Molecule: transfer RNA, 69 nt
Filed under: Tarnania fenestralis
Lineage: Eukaryota; Metazoa; Arthropoda; Insecta; Diptera; Mycetophilidae
Description: tRNA-Gln
Source: RNAcentral
UAUAAUUUGGUGUAUGAUGCAUAAAAAUUUUUGAUAUUUUAGGUAAUAGUUUAAUUCUAUUAAUUAUAA